RNAcentral lists this ribosomal RNA (487 nucleotides) under uncultured bacterium. RNAcentral describes it as "partial 16S ribosomal RNA". It matches the Rfam family "Bacterial small subunit ribosomal RNA", at positions 28 to 507 of the family's 1533-position model. The record is from RNAcentral.
GAUGAACGCUAGCGAUAGGCUUAACACAUGCAAGUCGAGGGGCAGCACAAGGUAGCUUGCUAUCUGGGUGGCGACCGGCGCACGGGUGCGUAACGCGUAUGCAACUUGCCCUAUACAGGAGGAUAACCCGUCGAAAGACGGACUAAUACUGCGUAUGCUCACAACUUGGCAUCAAGUGGUGAGGAAAGAAAUUCGGUAUAGGAUAGGCAUGCGUCCCAUUAGCUUGUUGGUGAGGUAACGGCUCACCAAGGCAACGAUGGGUAGGGGAACUGAGAGGUUUUUCCCCCACACCGGUACUGAGACACGGACCAGACUCCUACGGGAGGCAGCAGUGAGGAAUAUUGGUCAAUGGGCGCGAGCCUGAACCAGCCAAGUCGCGUGAAGGAUGACUGUCUUAUGGAUUGUAAACUUCUUUUAUACGGGAAUAACAAGAGUCACGUGUGACUCCCUGCAUGUACCGUAUGAAUAAGCAUCGGCUAACUCCGUG